AGAGUUUGAUCAUGGCUCAGAUUGAACGCUGGCGGCAGGCCUAACACAUGCAAGUCGAGCGGUAGCACAGAGAGCUUGCUCUCGGGUGACGAGCGGCGGACGGGUGAGUAAUGUCUGGGAAACUGCCUGAUGGAGGGGGAUAACUACUGGAAACGGUAGCUAAUACCGCAUAACGUCGCAAGACCAAAGUGGGGGACCUUCGGGCCUCAUGCCAUCAGAUGUGCCCAGAUGGGAUUAGCUAGUAGGUGGGGUAACGGCUCACCUAGGCGACGAUCCCUAGCUGGUCUGAGAGGAUGACCAGCCACACUGGAACUGAGACACGGUCCAGACUCCUACGGGAGGCAGCAGUGGGGAAUAUUGCACAAUGGGCGCAAGCCUGAUGCAGCCAUGCCGCGUGUGUGAAGAAGGCCUUCGGGUUGUAAAGCACUUUCAGCGGGGAGGAAGGCGAUAAGGUUAAUAACCUUGUCGAUUGACGUUACCCGCAGAAGAAGCACCGGCUAACUCCGUGCCAGCAGCCGCGGUAAUACGGAGGGUGCAAGCGUUAAUCGGAAUUACUGGGCGUAAAGCGCACGCAGGCGGUCUGUCAAGUCGGAUGUGAAAUCCCCGGGCUCAACCUGGGAACUGCAUUCGAAACUGGCAGGCUAGAGUCUUGUAGAGGGGGGUAGAAUUCCAGGUGUAGCGGUGAAAUGCGUAGAGAUCUGGAGGAAUACCGGUGGCGAAGGCGGCCCCCUGGGCAAAGACUGACGCUCAGGUGCGAAAGCGUGGGGAGCAAACAGGAUUAGAUACCCUGGUAGUCCACGCUGUAAACGAUGUCGAUUUGGAGGUUGUGCCCUUGAGGCGUGGCUUCCGGAGCUAACGCGUUAAAUCGACCGCCUGGGGAGUACGGCCGCAAGGUUAAAACUCAAAUGAAUUGACGGGGGCCCGCACAAGCGGUGGAGCAUGUGGUUUAAUUCGAUGCAACGCGAAGAACCUUACCUGGUCUUGACAUCCACAGAACUUUCCAGAGAUGGAUUGGUGCCUUCGGGAACUGUGAGACAGGUGCUGCAUGGCUGUCGUCAGCUCGUGUUGUGAAAUGUUGGGUUAAGUCCCGCAACGAGCGCAACCCUUAUCCUUUGUUGCCAGCGGUUAGGCCGGGAACUCAAAGGAGACUGCCAGUGAUAAACUGGAGGAAGGUGGGGAUGACGUCAAGUCAUCAUGGCCCUUACGACCAGGGCUACACACGUGCUACAAUGGCAUAUACAAAGAGAAGCGACCUCGCGAGAGCAAGCGGACCUCAUAAAGUAUGUCGUAGUCCGGAUUGGAGUCUGCAACUCGACUCCAUGAAGUCGGAAUCGCUAGUAAUCGUAGAUCAGAAUGCUACGGUGAAUACGUUCCCGGGCCUUGUACACACCGCCCGUCACACCAUGGGAGUGGGUUGCAAAAGAAGUAGGUAGCUUAACCUUCGGGAGGGCGCUUACCACUUUGUGAUUCAUGACUGGGGUGAAGUCGUAACAAGGUAACCGUAGGGGAACCUGCGGUUGGAUCACCU
RNAcentral lists this ribosomal RNA (1528 nucleotides) under Klebsiella pneumoniae. RNAcentral describes it as "bacterial SSU rRNA". It matches the Rfam family "Bacterial small subunit ribosomal RNA". RNAcentral also lists the same sequence under 1 other name. The record is from RNAcentral. Lineage: Bacteria; Pseudomonadati; Pseudomonadota; Gammaproteobacteria; Enterobacterales; Enterobacteriaceae.